GCCACAGUCAAAGAUGGAGAAUCCAUGGUGCCACUUUCCCGGUGAUCCCGGUGGGGGAAGGGGUUGCCGCCCGGCAGAGAUUCAGUCCCGAAUCCCGACAGCGAAGAGACUUGUAUGCCACCUGCAGGCCGGGGAGCGGGGCGCGCUGGGGCUGCACCACCCCGAACUUUGUAACAAUCUAGAGCACCACAGAGUGUUUCCAGGUCGGCACAAAAGCGAACGGGACAGGGCGCCCUGGGCGGCGGCAGCUUGGCCGGCCCGCUGCCUAGCGCGCCCCCGAGGGGCGGUAAUGGAACGUACCUUUGGCUGAAGAAAGAGUGCUCCCGGCCAGCGCGGGGUCGCCUAGGGGGUUCCGCGCUGCCUAAUGCAAAGGAUGGAAAAGUUACAGAAGCAGGUCCUGACACCACCUAUGUCUAGGUCUUUAGAAACUCCAUUGAUUGUUUGCAUUAGAAGAUAAUGAAUGGGAUUCUUAUUAUUUUCUUUUUUAAGACAGGGCCUUGCUCUGUUGCCCUGGCUGGAGUGCAGUGGAGCGAUCACCGCUCACUGCAGCCUUGACUUCCUGGGCUCAAGAGAUCCUCCCACCUCAGCCUUCCGAGUAGCUGGGAUUACAGGUGCACACAAUCACACUCAACUAAUUUUUCUUUCUUUCUUUUCUUUUCUUUUUCCUUUGGUAGAGAUGGGUUUCAGCAGCCCAGGCUGGUCUCGAACUCCUGGACUCAAGUGAUUGGCCCUCCUCGGCCUCCCAAAGUCCUGGGAUUACAAGCGUGAGCCACCAUGCUCAGUUGGCGGGGGAUUAUCUGUGAUCCAAUGAAGUUGGACUAGAGAUGUGAAGCCUUAGAAAACGGUGGAUUGAAAAAAGAAUUUUAGUCUCCUCCAGAGAUUAUAUUUUGUGUGUUCAUUGCUCUCAAAAACAUGAAAAUAAAGAGUAUUUUAUAUUGUGAUUUGUAGGACAAUAGCAUGCUUGUA
RNAcentral lists this long non-coding RNA (966 nucleotides) under Homo sapiens (human). Its description in RNAcentral is "HSALNT0308580". Lineage: Eukaryota; Metazoa; Chordata; Mammalia; Primates; Hominidae. The record is from RNAcentral.